GAUAAGGUCCAGGGAGUAAGUAUGCUGAGUGACUGCCUCCCAGGCUCUUCUGAGAAGGGGAAGACCCUUUUCAGCAACUUCCUCCUUCCUCCUCCUUCUGCCUCUGCCCUCCUCUCCUAACUCAGUGCCAUGGUCUCUCUGAGAGAGGCAGGACAGUCUUUGUCCCCACCUCCCCUCGAAAGCUGGGACAGCAGCCGCCCAGGCGCCUUACCCGUUCCUGUCCUGAACCCUCCACCAGUGAAUCUCAGAGCUGUCGAGCAGAUGAGAAAGCUGGCCAAGAGACUCAGAAAGUUAAGUGACAAAUAUGAAAUCACAGAGCGAGGAUACUGAAGGGCUGGAACUCACAACAGAGGGCUCUGACAGCAGUUCUCUUGGUGUUGGAGAUGUCUGUCUGACUCCCAGUGAACCCAACCUUCAGCUUGCAAACUUCUGCUGGUCCACCUUCAGCAUGCCUCCUACUGUUCCCAACUCUGUUGGGAUCCCCUUGCUCAUUUGGUUGUCCUGUUGGGUCUGCACCCUCUCCUGGAUUUGAGGUUGGGAUAGAGUCUGCCUUAUCCACCACAUGGGCCGAGACUAGAGAGCAGUUUUCCUCCAAAGAAACACCAGAGUGUUGUCACCAGAGAAAGUGGCAUGGAUGUCAGUUCAUCACUAGUGACCUCACCUUUACCCUGACCUAAAGCCCAUCUUCAUGGUUCUAUCACUUGAGGCCCUGCAAUUCCAAUUCUCUUCUCUGGUCCCAGGAAUCGCCUUUUAGAUACGUGAAGAUACUUCUUGGAUAACUCUAGAGCCCUCCUGUGUCCAAGACAAAGAGAUUCUUCAACUGUGCUUUUAGGGGGUGGCUUCUAUGGCCUUUAUUUUCCCUGUGAUUCUCAUCCAAAUGUGAUCAGGUUUAUUUGUAUCUGUUUAAGAGUACUACCAAAAUAUUUCAGUAAUUAUAUAACCUCUUUCUUCUGGGAAAAAAAAAUUCCUUCUAGAACUAUUAAUCCUAGACAAAACAAAUAACAUUAGCACAUUUAGAACAUUUGUACUAAAUGUUCACUGUAUUGGUGUCUAUAAUGGAAACAAUCUAUAUAUGCAUCAGUGAGAAACUGAUUAAUCUAUGGUGCAUCCAUUCAAAGCAACACUACAAGAUCAUGAAAAUGAAUGAAGAAUUUAUAUAAGGUAUCACUCUGAAAAAAGCACAAGAUACAUUGUUAAGAUAGAAAAGGUACAGACUAAUAUGUAUGGCAUGAUCCCAUUUUUACAUAAAAAUAUUUUGUGUCUAUAUUAACACAUAUGUCUAUGUUUAGGGCAGUGUCAGAAAGCUUCCAUAUCAAACUUCCAGCAAGGAAUUGGAAUUUUGCUUUUCAUUUAUAAUUAAAAGAGAAAAUAUUGUGGGAGAA
Long non-coding RNA from Dama dama (fallow deer), 1382 nucleotides. RefSeq lists it as uncharacterized. The record is from RefSeq and is a predicted model, not a curated record. The transcript has 4 exons. NCBI's taxonomy places the organism in Eukaryota, Metazoa, Chordata, Mammalia, Artiodactyla, Cervidae.